This 253-nucleotide ribosomal RNA is filed under the name uncultured bacterium. RNAcentral describes it as "partial 16S ribosomal RNA". It matches the Rfam family "Bacterial small subunit ribosomal RNA", at positions 524 to 776 of the family's 1533-position model. The record is from RNAcentral.
UACGUAGGGUGCGAGCGUUAAUCGGAAUUACUGGGCGUAAAGGGCUCGUAGGCGGCCAACUAAGUCGGAUGUGAAAUCCCCAGGCUCAACCUGGGAACUGCAUCCGAUACUGGAUGGCUUGAAUUCGGGAGAGGGAUGCAGAAUUCCAGGUGUAGCGGUGAAGUGCGUAGAUAUCUGGAGGAAUACCGGUGGCGAAGGCGGCAUCCUGGACCGACAUUGACGCUGAAGCGCGAAAGCAUGGGGAGCGAACGGG